GUGAGAGAGUGAUGUAUGACCCCCCCCCCCCCCCCCCUCCUUUCAGGGUGGAGCCUGCUGGAGUCAGAUGGUUGACACCAGGUCUGAGGAAGUAUUCCUGUGAACUCACAGUCGACAACCACACGGUGAACAGGAACCUCAAACUGUCUCACAACAACAGGAAGGUGACAUAUGUAGGAGGAUCAGCCAUAUCCUGGUCAUCCAGAGAGGUGGGGCUGGGACUCAUCAGGAAACAACUCACCUGAGUUGUUCUCCAUCACCUC
Molecule: long non-coding RNA, 263 nt
Organism: Etheostoma spectabile (orangethroat darter)
Lineage: Eukaryota; Metazoa; Chordata; Actinopteri; Perciformes; Percidae
Exons: 4
Source: RefSeq, a predicted model, not a curated record